GUGAGGAAUUUUCCGCAAUGGGCGAAAGCCUGACGGAGCAAUGCCGCGUGAAGGAUGAAGGCCUAUGGGUUGUAAACUUCUUUUCUCAGAAAAGAAUUAUGACGGUAUCUGAGGAAUAAGCAUCGGCUAACUCUGUGCCAGCAGCCGCGGUAAGACAGAGGAUGCAAGCGUUAUCCGUAAUGAUUGGGCGUAAAGCGUCUGUAGGUUGAUUAAAAAGUAUUCUGUCAAAGAUUAGGGCUUAACCCUAGAUAGGCAGAAUAAACUUUUAAGCUAGAGUUUGGUAGAGGCAGAGGGAAUACCCGGUGGAGCGGUGAAAUGCGUAGAUAUCGGGAGGAACACCAAAGGCGAAGGCAGUCUGCUGGGCCAAUACUAAAACUGAGAGACGAAAGCGAGGGGAGCAAAUGGGAUUAGAUACCCGGGUAGUCC
This 426-nucleotide ribosomal RNA is filed under the name uncultured bacterium. RNAcentral's name for it is "partial 16S ribosomal RNA". It matches the Rfam family "Bacterial small subunit ribosomal RNA", at positions 354 to 796 of the family's 1533-position model. The record is from RNAcentral.